CGUAGGUGGCAAGCGUUGUCCGGAAUUAUUGGGCGUAAAGCGCGCGCAGGCGGUCCUUUAAGUCUGAUGUGAAAGCCCUCGGCUCAACCGAGGAGGGUCAUUGGAAACUGGAGGACUUGAGUGCAGAAGAGGAAAGUGGAAUUCCAAGUGUAGCGGUGAAAUGCGUAGAGAUUUGGAGGAACACCAGUGGCGAAGGCGACUUUCUGGUCUGUAACUGACGCUGAGGCGCGAAAGCGUGGGGAGCAAACAGGAUU
Molecule: ribosomal RNA, 254 nt
Filed under: uncultured bacterium
Lineage: Bacteria
Description: partial 16S ribosomal RNA
Rfam family: Bacterial small subunit ribosomal RNA
Source: RNAcentral